UAUGUGAUCGUCUCUCGCAUAUCAAUAAGCGGAGGAAAAGAAACUAACAAGGAUUCCCCUAGUAACGGCGAGUGAAGCGGGAAGAGCUCAAAUUUGAAAUCUUAAAGGGUUUCCCUUUACGAAUUGUAGUUUAAAGAAGUGCUUUUCUGUUGAGGUUUUGGUAAAAGUUCUUUGGAAUAGGACAUCAUAGAGGGUGAGAAUCCCGUAUUUGACCUUUACUUUCAACUUUGUGAUACACUUUCAAAGAGUCGGAUUGUUUGGGAAUGCAGUCCAAAAUGGGUGGUAAAUUUCAUCUAAAGCUAAAUAUUGGCGAGAGACCGAUAGCGAACAAGUACCGUGAGGGAAAGAUGAAAAGAACUUUGAAAAGAGAGUUAAACAGUACGUGAAAUUGUCAAAAGGGAAGCGUUUGACACCAGUGUUGUUUUUCUGAAAAUCAAUUAAAGAACUGUUUAUGCUAAGUUGUUUAGACUUUAUCAGCUAACUGUUUAGUUUUGAGCUUUUCUUUAAUGCACUUUUCAGUUAACAAGUCAACAUCAAUUUCUUUUGCUGUAAAAAAGCUUGAGGAAGGUGGCUUGAGAUUCGUCUUAAGUGUUUAUAGCCUCUUGCCUAUGCAGUCGGAGAGAUUGAGGUCUGCAGCGUAGAUCCUUCGGGGCUAAAUGCAUUUGUGCUAAGCUUAUAGCAUUUUAUAGACAACUUGUUGACUAUGAUUUGUCUUGUAGCUUACUCGCUUAUGUUAUUUUACCUACGCUUAGGAUGUUGAAGUCAUCGUAUCGCGC
This 776-nucleotide ribosomal RNA is filed under the name uncultured Neocallimastigales. RNAcentral describes it as "partial large subunit ribosomal RNA". It matches the Rfam family "Eukaryotic large subunit ribosomal RNA", at positions 24 to 645 of the family's 3401-position model. Lineage: Eukaryota; Fungi; Neocallimastigomycota; Neocallimastigomycetes; Neocallimastigales. The record is from RNAcentral.